RNAcentral lists this long non-coding RNA (278 nucleotides) under Panax ginseng (ginseng). RNAcentral's name for it is "long non-coding RNA (PGIN_LNC007801)". Lineage: Eukaryota; Viridiplantae; Streptophyta; Magnoliopsida; Apiales; Araliaceae. The record is from RNAcentral.
AAAAAAAUUGUGUGUAAGACUGUGCAGAUGGAAGUUGCAGUGAAGUUUGCAGUAGUGAAGUUAGUGAUGAUGAUACUAAUGGCUUUUAUGAUUUCCAUGGGAGUUGCUUCGUCUCCGUAUUGUUGUCCUCGUAUCCCAGACUGUUGCCUUGCUGCCGAAGGUGUGCCGGAAGGGCAAAAUCCCUUGGUCACAGCAAUCAAUAGUUUUAAUGGCUAAUUAGUUGCAGUAAUCUUUGUACUGGUUAAAUAAGGGAAGUGACUAUUCUCAUCAGUUCUUUG